Non-coding RNA from Ictidomys tridecemlineatus (thirteen-lined ground squirrel), 69 nucleotides. The record is from Rfam. NCBI's taxonomy places the organism in Eukaryota, Metazoa, Chordata, Mammalia, Rodentia, Sciuridae.
GGGAUUGUGGCUCAGGGAUAGAGUACUUGCCUAGCAUGCAUGAGGCACUGGGUUCAAUCCCCAGCACCG